Molecule: ribosomal RNA, 1128 nt
Filed under: Triticum aestivum (bread wheat)
Lineage: Eukaryota; Viridiplantae; Streptophyta; Magnoliopsida; Poales; Poaceae
Description: partial small subunit ribosomal RNA
Source: RNAcentral
CCGCCGUUGAGGCCUUGGGCGGAUCUCCAUGCCGAUCUCAUCAUCGCCAUCGUGGACCACCUGCGAUCGCUGAUGGACUACGUCUACAUCCGCGGCGUCUGCGCGGCAUGGCGGUCCGCGCUACCUUCCGAGUCGCCGUGCCUCCUCGUCCUCGACGACUUGCAGCCUCCCGUUUCAACACCGGUGCAGCACCUUGGCUUCCCUCUUUACAACACCCGUGCGUACGCCCUAUCCAUCCCCAUGCAGCGCACGUUCCACCUCCCCAUGCUCCGGUGCCACAGCAGCAGCGUCACCGGCUCCAGCAGAGGCUACCUCAUCAUCGCCAAUGGCGUCGACUGGCGUCGUCCUGGGAUCUUGCUACUGAACCCCGUCACCAGCGAACAGAUCGAGCUCCUUCCCCUGCCGAACAAGCACUACACCUACCCGCGCAAAGUCGUGCUUGGGCCGAACCUAAGGCCUGGUUGCUACACCGCCGUGGCCAUCUUCUACCAUGAGUACGCCACCAAGGUCGCCUACGUGACGAGCGGGGACGCGGAGUGGACGAUCGCCAAAGUUGCCGUGAAUGGAGCGAAGCUGGUCGAUCUGAUCUACGAUGCCGAAAGCGGCCGUGUAUAUUGCCUUGAUGAAUGUGGGGACGUGCAAGUACUCCACAUCCCCCGACGCGGCCGAAUGCAAGAACAGACGGUCACGCCAUUGCUGGCUGACCGUGUUGGUCCUAGCUUCGCCCCACCUUACGAAGCCGUGUCCAGCAAAAUAUCUUUCAUGCGCCUCUUCUUUUGCGAGGGCGCUCUAUACCAGGUGUGGCAGAACACCGGGGUUACCAUGCGGUUUCGGUUACCGGCCGGCGGUGUGUUCACAAUGUCCACGGACGAGAUACUCGUUCUAAGGUACUACCCAGAGCGAUGGCCAUGGUGGGAUGUUGUGACGGAUAUGGGAGGCUACUCCGUGUUCAUUGGCCAUAACAACACGGCAGUGGUGCAGGCUGAGGCCUUGUCGGGAGUAAGGCCCAACUGUGUCUAUUGGAUAGAUUGCAUGCAAUGCACGCCAUGGGUGUUUGACAUGAGCAAGAGAACCUCUAAGCGGUGUGUUCUUCCUCGCAGUGUAGGAAGGCCAAGAUGUUGGUACUUU